UGGGGAAUCUUGCGCAAUGGGCGAAAGCCUGACGCAGCAACGCCGCGUGCGGGAUGAAGGCCCUCGGGUCGUAAACCGCUUUCAGCAGGGAUGAAACUGACAGUACCUGCAGAAGAAGCCCCGGCUAACUACGUGCCAGCAGCCGCGGUAAUACGUAGGGGGCAAGCGUUAUCCGGAUUCAUUGGGCGUAAAGAGCGCGUAGGCGGCUUGUUUAGUCAGAUGUGAAAACCGGGGGCUCAACCCGCGGCCUGCAUCUGAAACUGACAGGCUUGAGUCUGGUAGAGGAAAGUGGAAUUCCUGGUGUAGCGGUGAGAUGCGCAGAUAUCAGGAGGAACACCAGUGGCGAAGGCGGCUUUCUGGGUCACGACUGACGCUGAGGCGCGAAAGCUAGGGGAGCGAACAG
RNAcentral lists this ribosomal RNA (403 nucleotides) under uncultured bacterium. RNAcentral's name for it is "bacterial SSU rRNA". It matches the Rfam family "Bacterial small subunit ribosomal RNA", at positions 355 to 775 of the family's 1533-position model. The record is from RNAcentral.